RNAcentral lists this long non-coding RNA (533 nucleotides) under Triticum aestivum (bread wheat). RNAcentral describes it as "long non-coding RNA (TAES_LNC005688)". Lineage: Eukaryota; Viridiplantae; Streptophyta; Magnoliopsida; Poales; Poaceae. The record is from RNAcentral.
CCACGGCGGCAGCUCAGCUGAUGCCAAGCGGUGCUGGGUUGAUCCUGCAAACUCUGACGGCCUCAAUUGCGCUGAACGCGAGGGCAAGGCUGCGAAAUCUUCUGGCGUGAAGAAAAUGGGGUCUAUGGAGGGCAGCGGCAGCCAGGGAGGCGCCAGUGGAGGCGCUGCGCCGGUGAAGCCGGUGCCCAGGGAGGAGAUUUGCGUCACCAACGCAGAGGCUCCUGCCGUCGCCAUGGACAAAUCGGAGGUGAUCGACCUGACCCUAGAUGACUGAAGCUGGUGGCAGGAUAUGAUAAAGUCUGGCCUCAACUUUCCAUUCAUGAACUGUUAUUUCUCAGACAUUUCGUGCAUUCGCCUAUCGUGUUUGUGCGUGCUUUUUAUUUCCAUUCUAGGCACAUAGUUGUUUGUGCUUUCUGAACUUCAAAUAAGAGGAGACAUUCGUCGUAUGUUUUGCUCUUCAUGUUUGGUGUCUGUCUAGUUGUCAUAAAUUCUUGUUUUUUCAACUAAGAAAAUAUUCUUGUUUUUUUCUAUCU